This 6927-nucleotide long non-coding RNA is filed under the name Homo sapiens (human). Its description in RNAcentral is "HSALNT0151282". The record is from RNAcentral. Lineage: Eukaryota; Metazoa; Chordata; Mammalia; Primates; Hominidae.
GGGGGUCGCGGUCGGCCCACAGGCUGGGCACUAACGGGUCCCGGGGCGCCGGGGCGGACUGCGGCGGUGAGCGCGGCUGCAGGCCGCGGUCGUAGUGGACUAAUUUUACAGGCGAAGUUAAGUGACUUACCCAAAACCUCACAGCUAAUAAACGGCAGAGCCGGCACCCAGCUGUACUGGCUUCCAGCGCAUCCCAUUAUCUCCAUAAAUCCCCCUGAUUCAACUAAUAUUAGACGCCCCACAGGUAAGAUGCUUCAGAGUUAGAGGGGAGUUGAAGAUACCUUUGCCUUCAAAGAAGUAAGGAAUGAAACAAAGAUAAAACAGACAAUAAAAGACAAACCAUGAUAGGUGCCACGUGAAAAGUGGCAGAGUACUGCCGGGAAUCAAAGAACCGUGUAUAUCUGUCUUGGGGAUAAGGAAAGAAACGCAGCAUGAAGGAGUAGGCAUUUGGGAUUGACCUUGAAGGAGACAGGGAGAGUUUUACAGCAAGAAGGGAUAGCAUGAGAAUAUAUAUGAAGGCGAAUCAGUGAAAGUUGUGUUGGGGAAAGAGCAAAGACUCCAGGUAUGUUGAGAGGUAGAAAAGACAAAGGAGUAUGGGGCCUAAGAUACCAAAUGGAUGAAUUUAUAUUUAAUUCAGUAUUUUGAGUUUUUAUGGUUCAGAAGUUUGGGGGAAGAAAAGGAAGGUUUUUUUUUUCUUUAUGCUAGUGAUUUAUCUGUGAAGGGAAGCAGAAAUCAGAGGUGGAAAAACUGACAGAUCUACUGUAGGCCAGGUAAAAGGUAAUGAUGAGUCUGACCUAAAGGGACAGCCAGGGGAAUUUAAAGAGCAUAGUUGAGAGAUGAUGUGCAUGCAGAAUCUAUAGAAUUUGCUAACUGAUUGAUUAAUUGUGGGUAGGAAGAGAGAAAUCAAAGAAAGUGGAGGUUUUGAGUUUCUAGAUAAUUGCAAGAGAGAAAAGAGACAAUUACAAAGGAAAGGAGAAGGAGCUACUUCUUGAGAGAAGAUCAGUUUAGAUUUAGACAUUUUAAGAAUUCAAAGGGUUGUCAAGACAGCCAGACGGACAUGGACACUAAUAAGUUAGAAAUAAAGGUUUUGUAAUAUGGGAAAGAGGACUGAGCUAGAAAAUAGACUCAUAGAUAAUCAGCCUAGGAGUGAUAUUGCUGUGAGAUAAAAGAAGAAAACAAAGUCAGAAUCUUGGAAAACACCCUCUUCAGAGUCUCGCUGCUCAAAACGUGGUCAGUGGCCCAGCAGCACUGACAUGAGGACCUUAGUUGGAAACUCAGAAUCUCAGGCUCCACCCCAGACCUGCUGAACCAGCAUCUUCAACUUAACAAGAACCCGAAGAGAUUUGUGCCACAUCAAAAAGUUUGAGAAGCUCUGAUCUAGCUGGACCCUGGACACGGUGACUCUGAUUCAAUUAUGCAGAUGACCACAAGCCUCUGGGGUUGGCAGAGCCACAAGAAAGAAGGUGCCUGGAUGAAGGAGAGCUACCCACUGACCUGGACACCCAAUUAUAGGAUAGACAGUGAAGUGCAACUACAGCCCGCAAAUGAAAAUGAAUAAAAUUAAUCCAGCCCCUCAAGGCAGUCAUCUGUCUUAGAGCUAUUGGAAUCCUGGAUCAUUGUGGGAAAUGAAAAGAACUGGUUUUUAGCAAGGAGACCAAGAAACUCUACUCCCUAGGGGCUAGCAAUGAGAGAAAGGAAGCCUUGAGUCUUUGAGCACAGGGUGACAGUUUGGGUCCUAUGUGAGAUGAUCAAAUCCACAGCAACAGAGGAAAGGACAAAAGGAAAAGAUACUUCGAUGGAAUCAGCAGCCAUUGAUCCAAUGCCAACUCCAAGACUGGAACGUCGCAAUGAUAGUUCCAAGGCGGAAAUUUGACGUAAUUCUUUUCGACACAGUUUUACAGGCAUCUUGCAUGUGAAUAACUCACAACUUUAAUUCAUGGAACAAAUUGAGAAAUAGUCUUUUGGGGGUUUGGUACUCCCUGGAAACAUAAGAGUGCUUUGGGCACCUCUGGUGCCUUUCCAUGCCUGCCUUCUCUGCUGUUCUUGCUACUAGUGAAUUCUAAAUCAUGGCCAAGUGAUGCCAGCACUGGAUAAUAUUGGCUCUGCCCCAUAUCUCGAGGGAAAACUCUGGGACUUGGCAUUAUAUGUGUGGGAAUCUGGCCUUGGUUGGCACUCCCAGCAUGAUAGCAGGGUUCUGCUGUCUGAAUGUACUCUGGGGUGUGCGCCACAAUUUCUGUCAUCGAAAUGGAGAUGAGAGAAUAUGCCCUUGGUGGGGACACCCCACUGGAAUUAGAGUGAAGAGAUCAAAGCUAGAGGUUCUUAAAUCAAAGAAUGUCUAAUAGCAAAGACAAAAACUUGCUUAAGAGAAAUGCAUACAGGUACUAGACCUAAUAUGAUGAAAAAUGCUAACUUCAACAUAUUGAUGCAUGCUUAGUAUACUUUUAGUCCUGCAAAGACAAAAGUUUUUUGUUUGUUUUUUUUUGAGACGGAGUCUCGCUCUGUCGCCCAGGUUGGAGUGCAGUGGUGUGAUCUCGGCUUACUGCAAGCUCUGCCUCCUGGGUUCACACCAUUCUCCUGCCUCAGCCUCCGGAGUAGCUGGGACUACAGGCGCCCGCCACCACGCCCGGCUAAUUUUUUGUAUUUUUAGUAGAGAUGGGGUUUCACCGUGUUAGCCAGGAUGGUCUCGAUCUCCUGACCUCAGGUGAUCCGCCUGCCUUGGCCUCCCAAAGUGCUGGGAUUACAGGCAUGAGCCACCGCACCUGGCCCAGUCCUGCCAAGACAAAGUUUUAAAACACAGGUUGCACAUUGGCAGCUCUCAAGCCAAAUCUGGCCCAUAGACAUGGUUUGCUUGGCCUAUAAUGUUAGUAAUACUUGACCCAAGAUUUAAAAUUUGAAAAGUUUCAUAUAAAAAUAUAGAUUUACAGCUUUUCUAGAAAAACUAUAAGAGUUAACAGUUUCUGAAUUGCAACAGCAGCUGGAACACCGUUGCCACUGACCAUUUAGAUGACUGCUGCAGUCCCCACGGCUCACUCUGGUUCAGGUAGGGGUUCUAGUUUGUAACCCCUGGUUUAAAACAUAACUGACUCUCUAGUUUUUAAAAUUCUCUCAAAAUCAAAUAACCUGAACUAGCAAAUGAUCUAGAUCCUCGUACAUGGAACUCAUACUAAGUUGACCACAGACAGUGGCUCCCAAACUCUGCAGUACAUCAGAGUCACUGGGAAGCUUUAAAAAAUCCUGCUCCCUAGCUGGGUGCAGUGGUUUAUGCCUGUAGCCCCAGCUACUUGAGAGGCUGAGGUGGGAGGAUUGCUCAAGCCCAGGAGUUUGAGGCUGCAGUGAGCCAUGAAUGUACCACUACACUCCAGCCUGGGCAACAGAGCAAGACCCCAACUCUAAAAAAAAAUCCUGCUCCCCAGGUGACAGUAUCUGGGGGAAGGAGUAAGGCAUCUUAUUUUCAAAAGAUCAUAAGAAAAGAGGCUCAUUGCUGAGGCUCACUCCGGAGCCCACUUGGAUUCUUCACAAGAAAGUUUCCCUCUUCCAGAAUUUUAUAAUUGAGGGAACCGACUAGGGAAAGAUUAAUUUGCCCAAGGUCAAACAACUAGUAAAAGAAGUAAGGAUUCCAACCCAGAUCUUUUGACUCUAUUAUCCUUACAUAUAGUUUUAUAGUGAUUUAAAUUGAUACAAGGAUAGGUUUAAAUACAAGUAGAAUGCAGGUUCAUAUAAAACUGAUUUUAUCCUCAUGUUAGAAAACAUAUACACUGUAACAGAGGGAUGACCAUCAAGUGACCAAGAUAUUUUAGUCAAAAGAUGAAUUUUUCUGCAAUUGGAGAAUGCCAAAAAUAUUCAAAGAAAAUAUAAGUCUUGUAGGCAGUCUUCUAUCAAAACCCACUGAACCGCUGGGCACGGUGGCUCAUGCCUGUAAUUCCAGCACUUUGGGAGGCCAAGGCUGGUGGAUCACCUGAGGUCAGGAGUUUGAGACCAGCCUGGCCGACAUGGUCUCUACUAAAAAUACAAAAAAUUAGCUGGGCCUGGUGGCGGCACCUGUAAUCCCAGCUACUGAGGAGGCUGAGGCAGGAGAAUUGUUUGAACCUUGGAGGUAGAGGCUGCAGUGAGCUGAGAUAGCACCACUGCACUCCAGCCUGGGUAACAAGAGUGAAACUCCAUUCAAAAACAAAAAACAAACAAAAAAAAAACAAUGCACCAAAUACUAAGUUAUUAACUAGGAUACUGAUUAUUAAGCAUGUAAAACAUUUUAUGGAACUCAGAGUUUGAUGUAAAUUGCUAUAUUUUAUAAUUCAAACAAACCUUGUUUCAUGUCAUUAUAUUAGAGUAGCAUUAUGAGACAGGAUAUAGUGUAAGCUAUAUCCCCAAUAUAAUUGCAACUGUAUAUUUUAAAGCAUGGGGAAAAUAUGAAAAGAAUUAUGCUCAAAUGUGGGUAGGAUUAUAACUGAUUUGUUUUCUUCAUUUUCAGAUUUUUCUAUAAUGACUAUACAUUAUUUUUAUAGUCAAAAAUAGAAGUAUUUUAAAUGUUUCUAGGUAGAAUAGCAAAUUAGCUGAAAUAGUAUCUCCAACGUUAUUAUCAAGACUAGACUCCUUGGGUAAAUUGGUCAGAACAGUGUUGUUCUCAUUUUACACCUCUCCAAGAUUAACUAUGUUUUAGAUUUGUGUGUGUGUUUGGUUAAAGAGCCAGGAUGAAGAUCCAGAGUUCUUAAACCUGUAUACCACCAUACUACAUUGUCAUUUUAAAGAAAUGUCUAGUAGACUCGGUGGCAUAAACAUGGGCCAUUUACAAACUAGAUGUCUAAUAUCAGAUACCUCAAAUUUGACAGUAGACUUUUUUUCAAAGCUAAAGUGGUCUUAUGUUGACUAUUUUGUUUCUUACUUGAUACUUGUUUACUUUUUAAUUUUUGGCAAGUAAUGUUUCAAGUUAAAGUUUUAGCUAUAUAUAGCAGGCAGUAUUUCAAGUAAAUGAGUUACAUCAGUAAACACCUCUGUAUUACUAAACUGAGAAUCAGAAAAUGUAAUCUCUUUGGCAGGAUUCGUAUGUUUGUAUCACGUCUUUAUCCUCAGGCAACUUUUAUCUUGGAAUACUGAACCAGCAGUCAGAAUAUGAGGGACAUUAGACUGUGUUAUAGUUACUGUUCUGUCCUUAAGUCACUUGCCUUCUCUAAGUGUCAGUUGCCUCAUCUGAAAAUGGAGUUAGCAGACCCCAGCCUAUCCUGAGUUUGAGGGCUAAAGGGAAUUAUUCUUGAAAAUGUCUAUACAUGAUAAAUGUCACAAAUAUAACUUAGCAUUUUUUUUUUGAGACAGAGUUUCGCUCUUGUGGCCCAGGUCGGGGUGCAAUGUCGUGAUCUCAGCUCACUGCAACCUCUGCCUCCCGGGUUCAAGCGAUUCUCCUGCCUCAGCCUCCUGAGUAGCUGGGAUUACAGGCAUGCACCACCACACCUGGCUAAUUUUGUAUUUUUUAAUAGAGACGGGGUUUCACCAUGUUGGUCAGGUUGGUCUCGAACUCCUACCCUCCGGUGAUCCACCCGCCUUGGCCUCCCAAAGUGCUGGGAUUACAGGCAUGAGCCACCGCACCUAGCCAAUUCUACUUCUAUUACAUUUUCAGCAUAUAUCACUUCAUUGCUCCUCCAUAUUAUUUUUCACUGGUCUUCUUACAUCUUGUGUGCCCAUAUUUAAGUAGUUUUCUUUCCAGGUAAAAAAUACAUGUGUGCCUAAAAGAUUUUAAAGUCAACUUUUCAUAAACCAUACCUAAAUUAUCAAAGUUAUUAGAAUUAUUAGAAAGUAUUAGCUAAUUCUUUUAUAAAAUGUAGACUUUAUUAUUUUAGAAAUAUUGAUUCCUCUCUAUUCAGCUAUCUUAAAGAGGGUAUAUUUUAAUCAUCGCAAUAUAUUACCUUCAUAGUAUUUUUUACUUUUGCAAAGUAUAUUUUGUCAUGUUAUUUCAUUUAGGAAUGCACUAAAUCUACAUAUCUACAUAUGAUUAUACAAGGAAACAUCUUUGUCUCAAAAAUGGGUUCUAUUACAUUUUUUAAUUUCCAGGGGUCAUGAUAUAUAAAAAGACCUGAUUUAUCUUAAAAAUACAUACUUUUAUUCUUACCUACCAUACAUCUUUUUUUGUGAUAAUCAGAAGGCUUAAUUUACUAUAAAAUAGGAAAACAACAGCUAUGUUAGAUUAUAUAGUUAAUUUAGGGAUUAAAUGAGUUAAGGUCUACAAGCCCCUGGCACAUGGCAGACAAUCAAUAAUUGAUCAUUUCCUUUGCAUCUAUAAAUUUGUUCAUUCACUUCUCAUGUGGUUCUACCUUAGACAACGAUUUUUGUUUACAGAGACAAAUAGAAGUAUCUAAUCCUAAAUAACCCAAUCAAUUGGUAAAGGCUACACUACAAAGCUGGCAUGACUUCACCAAAUGCUAGAGAAACAGUGUUAAGAGUGACAACACUAAAAGUCUUACACUCUGAUGAUGCUAGUUGCCGCCGAAUUGCUUCCCCUACCAGUUCCUUAAGUUUCUUCUUAUGAUCCCGGCUGGUUUUCUUAUAGAAAUAAAGAUCUUUUUCCAACUGCUGGAUUUUAUCUUCAUAUGUUUUGAAAGUUUCCAUAAUGCCUUCUCCAUCUUGUUCUAUACAACAAAAAUUUGCAUUUAAAAUCAGUUUUAAAUAAAUGAUGCAAAAUUAUGUUUUUGUUUGUUUCUUUGUCUUUUUGAAACGGAGUCUUGCACUGUCGCCCAGGCUAGAGUGCAGUGGCGUGAUAUGCUCGGCUCACUGUAAGCUCCGCCACCCAGGUUCACACCAUUCUCCUGCCUCCGCCUCCCAAGUAGCUGGGACUACAGGUGCCCAGCACCACGCCCGGCUAAUUUUUUUGUAUUUUUAGUAGAGACGAGGUUUCAUCAUGUUAGCCAGGAUGGUCUCGAUCUCCUGACCUCGUGAACUGCC